RNAcentral lists this ribosomal RNA (666 nucleotides) under Triticum aestivum (bread wheat). Its description in RNAcentral is "partial small subunit ribosomal RNA". Lineage: Eukaryota; Viridiplantae; Streptophyta; Magnoliopsida; Poales; Poaceae. The record is from RNAcentral.
AUGGCUGGCAAGAGCAUCGAGGCUGCUUCCUCUCCGUUCAGGACGCUGGUCUGGCGUCGGGCCGGAACAAGGUGUCGUUCUUUCUGUGCCGCGCGCCGUCCGUUCUUGGCGCGAGAGGGCUACGCCGCCGUCGCAGUUGGCCGUGUUGACGGAGACAACGAGGGCGCCGCCAAGUCCAUGCGCCGCCUCGGCCCCAGUAGCUUGGAGUCUAAAGGGAUCGUGCCGUUCCAUGGUGCAGACCCUGCGCCGUCGUCCUUGGCCGCGCGGGGCUGCAGAUCGCACCGACGGCCAGAGGCGACCACCCGUGCGGCUGCGUUCAAAGGCGCUGUGCACAGGGAGAUGGCCAGCCUCCCAGAGAGGAAGACACCGAUCAGAAUCGACAUGAUUUUCUUACCAUGGUGUAAUCUUGAGCACGCAAAGGCGCUGUGCACAGGAGAUGGCUGGCCUCCCGGAGAGGAUGACACUGGUAAGAAUCGACAUGAUUUUCUUAUACCUUAUUCAAACCAAGACUCUUGUGCAUCGAUAUUGCUUGAUGGAUUCAUAUCUUGUGUAUUCAUACCUAGACUGUACGUUCAGAACCUACAGUUGUUUGUUGAAUCUUUUGACUCAGACAUCAAUAAUGCUUGUUUGCCACACCAACGUGAGUUCCCGGAUGACACCGAGUAG